This 522-nucleotide RNase P RNA is filed under the name Halobellus limi. RNAcentral describes it as "Halobacteriaceae archaeon TBN53 Archaeal RNase P". It matches the Rfam family "Archaeal RNase P". Rfam says of the family: Ribonuclease P (RNase P) is a ubiquitous endoribonuclease, found in archaea, bacteria and eukarya as well as chloroplasts and mitochondria. Its best characterised activity is the generation of mature 5'-ends of tRNAs by cleaving the 5'-leader elements of precursor-tRNAs. The record is from Rfam by way of RNAcentral. Lineage: Archaea; Methanobacteriati; Methanobacteriota; Halobacteria; Halobacteriales; Haloferacaceae.
GGCAGAGAGAGCUCGGCUCCCGUCGGUCCGCUCCGGACUGACGAGGAAAGUCCCCCCACCGUCCGGACGGGUGACCGGGCGCAAGCCCGGAGUCGGAGACGGCUGGCUCUGGAACAGAGACGAGACCCCUCGACCCGACCGAUGAGACGCGAGCGGCGGACUCCCCGCCGCCGGCGCUCGCGGGGCGACCCGCGGGCGCGCGAACCGACCCGUAAGGGGAGGGAGUUAACCCGUCGAGGGUAGCGCGGUCGCUUCGUGAUCGCGAAAAGUGAGCGGCAUCAGCCGUGAACGGCGCAGUCACGUCGCGACCGCGGAGCGCGAGCGGCGUCAGCCGCGAGCCGCGGGGUGGCGGCAGCCAUCCCGACGCGGACGGACGCACCGCGUCCGUGCGCCGACGGUCGAGAACGGGUGGAACGGCGAAUCCUCACCGGUGCAAGUCCGCGCCGCCAAGGUAGUCCGGACAGGGCGCGGCCGCUCAGCCGAAUGCCGAGACGAACAGAAGGGGGCUUACUCCUCUCAGCC